UACAGGGGGGGCAAGCGUUGUUCGGAAUUACUGGGCGUAAAGGGCGCGUAGGCGGCCUUCUAAGUCAGACGUGAAAUCCCCGGGCUCAACCCGGGAACUGCGUCUGAGACUGGAAGGCUUGAAUCCGGGAGAGGGAUGUGGAAUUCCAGGUGUAGCGGUGAAAUGCGUAGAUAUCUGGAGGAACACCGGUGGCGAAGGCGGCAUCCUGGACCGGUAUUGACGCUGAGGCGCGAAAGCCAGGGGAGCAAACGGG
This 253-nucleotide ribosomal RNA is filed under the name uncultured bacterium. RNAcentral's name for it is "partial 16S ribosomal RNA". It matches the Rfam family "Bacterial small subunit ribosomal RNA", at positions 524 to 776 of the family's 1533-position model. The record is from RNAcentral.